AUGGAUGAUGUAGUAAGAAUGUACAUCCGAUACACACUGAAUGGAAAACAAUUCAAUCCUGAUGUGGUUCUGGAUCUCAUACGUCUUAGGAAAGCAUCAAUGUUUGAAGAUAAUGAAGUUGCUGAAAUUCUGAAUCAGAUAUCAAGACGAAUUGUUCGGGAAAAAGUGGAUGAGCUCGAGGAGGUGUUCUACGAGGAGGAACUCAACCCCAUAAAGUACAUUCUGGCAAAUAUUUUGGAAGAAGUUGGUGAUGCCACCUAUUUCGAUAAGCAGGUCACAGCUGAUCUAGAGACGAUCUCCACAAAGAAAAUAUUGGGCCAGUUGACCUUCCACGGGCAUGCAUAUCAGAAUCAAAUCAAAAGCCGGAAGCUUCAAUCUUGCCUUAUUCACAUAGCUUUUCAAGAUCAAAUGAGGAUUUGCCUGAUGUGGCCCAUAGCUAGAUAUUUGCACGUGAUAGGUACUUCUUUUUGA
Molecule: ribosomal RNA, 471 nt
Filed under: Triticum aestivum (bread wheat)
Lineage: Eukaryota; Viridiplantae; Streptophyta; Magnoliopsida; Poales; Poaceae
Description: partial small subunit ribosomal RNA
Source: RNAcentral